AACGAACGCUGGCGGCAGGCCUAACACAUGCCAGUCGAGCGGACCCUUCGGGGUUAGCGGCGGACGGGUGAGUAACGCGUGGGAAUAUGCCCUUCUCUACGGAAUAGUCCUGGGAAACUGGGGGUAAUACCGUAUACGCCCUUUGGGGGAAAGAUUUAUCGGGGAAGGAUUAGCCCGCGUUGGAUUAGGUAGUUGGUGGGGUAAUGGCCUACCAAGCCGACGAUCUAUAGCUGGUUUGAGAGGAUGAUCAGCCACACUGGGACUGAGACACGGCCCAGACUCCUACGGGAGGCAGCAGUGGGGAAUCUUAGACAAUGGGGGCAACCCUGAUCUAGCCAUGCCGCGUGAGUGAUGAAGGCCUUAGGGUUGUAAAGCUCUUUCAGCUGGGAAGAUAAUGACGGUACCAGCAGAAGAAGCCCCGGCUAACUCCGUG
RNAcentral lists this ribosomal RNA (433 nucleotides) under uncultured bacterium. RNAcentral's name for it is "partial 16S ribosomal RNA". It matches the Rfam family "Bacterial small subunit ribosomal RNA", at positions 29 to 507 of the family's 1533-position model. The record is from RNAcentral.